RNAcentral lists this long non-coding RNA (1930 nucleotides) under Daphnia pulicaria. RNAcentral's name for it is "uncharacterized LOC124350310". The record is from RNAcentral. Lineage: Eukaryota; Metazoa; Arthropoda; Branchiopoda; Diplostraca; Daphniidae.
CCAUGAACCAUGACCACCAUUCCGUUUGGUGCUUGAAAGUGCAAGCAGGAAGCAUGUGGAAGUAAAUUUCUUAGUUUGCCUACACAAGAAAUUCUCUAAAGUAACUGAAUCGUAAAGCCAGUAAUAAGAAGACAAUUCACAAUUGCCUUUCAACCAGUGAAUGUUUUUUAUAAAGAAUCCAUGUUCGUCAAGUCAGAUCACCAAACUGGAAAAGUUUCAGUGCUCCCUCAGACCUUCACAUAGAAUAUUUGUAUCUAAUCUACACAAAAUAAUUUUUAAACUCGUGCUUCAUGAUGGGAUUUGUCUCCUUUGGGCUUGAUUAGUUUGCGAAUCACAAUGUUGUCUUCACUCAUUUCCAUGGUUUCGACAUAUCUGUAGGACUCCAUGAGAGAAAAAGCACAUGCUUAACUCUAUACACAGCAGAAGGAAGUUGUUAAAGAAUCGCCAACCAAGUAGCAAAUGAAAAACAAGGGAAUUUCGGACAAGCGCUGAAAAUUAUUUGACUGGUGUCGCCGAAUAAACACUUGUACAGAGCAAGGAAGCAUUACACAAGGAACACGGAGCUUCUGAAUAACUCGAGCACAACAGCAGGCAAGAAGAAACACAACCUGCGCAGAACAUCUCAUCAGACACUUCAAACUGCUCUUGAAAUUCCUCAAUGCACGCCUAAAUGCGUAAUCGGGAUGGAUGCAUUGGUUGACUUCAAGAACUACAUUGACAAAUUGUAGUGCCGUUCGCCCAAAGGAAUUUAUUAAACGUGGAAAUUAACACGAGUUCAAGAAAGCUUGUACGACUGAUGUGAACAAUUUCGACCUGCAAUUGUCUCAAUCAACCCGAUCUCUCCACGGAGCAAGUGCACAUUCGUUUAUCGCUAGCAAAUGAAGGGCACUUCUUCCGUCGUUGUCCAGGGAGUUUGGAUCGGCCCCUGCAUCCAGCAACAAUAUAAUUACUUUGAAGAUUGAAGUCGGUGUGCAAGGAACUGCACACGCUUUCAGUAAGAGCCUGAGGUUUUCUGUAGUCCAUCUGUUAUGGGUGAAGACGCUGAGCGCGAGUAGAUUCUCUACAAGGAUAUUCUCUUGUGCUGACAGGCUAUCCAUUUCAUAAAUUGAUUGAAGAAGGCAUUUGAUGAGAAAAGACAGCUGCGAUGCUCCCUCCUCUCGAAGUCAUUUUGGAUUCUUCGCUUGGACAAUAGUGAUUGUAGAAUUUUCCCAAGAAGUUGCACGUGAAAUCUAAGCAAACUAGAGGCUUCCAAAUGUUAAAAACAUUCCAACAACAUGAAGAACUUCCAUACCAACAAGUGUUCCAAUUCUCAACAAACCUGGCACGUUUUUGAAGAUUGAAAGCCUCUACGUUUGCAUGGACUUCACGUGCAACUUCUUGGGAAAAUUCUACAAUCACUAUUGUCCAAGCGAAGAAUCCAAAAUGACUUCGAGAGGAGGGAGUAUCGCAGCUGUCUUUUCUCAUCAAAUGCCUUCUUCAAUCAAUUUAUGAAAUGGAUAGCCUGUCAGCACAAGAGAAUAUCCUUGUAGAGAAUCUACUCGCGCUCAGCGUCUUCACCCAUAACAGAUGGACUACAGAAAACCUCAGGCUCUUACUGAAAGCGUGUGCAGUUCCUUGCACACCGACUUCAAUCUUCAAAGUAAUUAUAUUGCUGCUGGAUGCAGGGGCCGAUCCAUACUCCCUGGACAACGACGGAAGAAGUGCCCUUCAUUUGCUUGCGAUAAACGAAUAUGCACUUGCUCCAUGGAGAGAUCGGGUUGAUUGGGACAAUUGCAGGUCGAAAUUGUUCACAUCAGUCGUACAAGCUUUCUUGAACUCGUGUUAAUUUCCACGUUUAAUAAAUUCCUUUGGGCGAACGGCACUACAAUUUGUCAAUGUAGUUCUUGAAGUCAACCAAUGCAUCCAUCCCGAUUACGCAUUUAGGCGUGCA